GUCCGGGCUCCACAGGGCAGGGUGGUUGUUAACGGCAACCCGGGGUGACCCGCGGGACAGUGCCACAGAGAACAGACCGCCGGUGCCGGCCUCGGCCGACAUCGGUAAGGGUGAAACGGCGGUGUAAGAGACCACCAGCGCGGCGGGUGACCGCGGCGGCUAGGUAAACCCCACCCGGAGCAAGGUCAAGAAGGAUCGGGCGUGCCCGAUCUGCGCAGGCGUUCGAGGGCGGCCCGCCCGAGCCUGCGGGUAGACCGCUGGAGCCUGCCGGCGACGGCAGGCCGAGAUGGAUGGCCGUCACCGGCGCGCGAGCGCCGGUACAGAACCCGGCCUACAGGUCGACUCGUCCG
This 350-nucleotide RNase P RNA is filed under the name Actinomycetota bacterium. Its description in RNAcentral is "Actinobacteria bacterium partial RNase P RNA component class A". It matches the Rfam family "Bacterial RNase P class A", at positions 50 to 367 of the family's 367-position model. Rfam says of the family: Ribonuclease P (RNase P) is a ubiquitous endoribonuclease, found in archaea, bacteria and eukarya as well as chloroplasts and mitochondria. Its best characterised activity is the generation of mature 5'-ends of tRNAs by cleaving the 5'-leader elements of precursor-tRNAs. Lineage: Bacteria; Bacillati; Actinomycetota. The record is from RNAcentral.